UUAGCGGCGGACGGGUGAGUAACACGUGGAUAACCUACCUAUAAGACUGGGAUAACUUCGGGAAACCGGAGCUAAUACCGGAUAAUAUUUUGAACCGCAUGGUUCAAAAGUGAAAGACGGUCUUGCUGUCACUUAUAGAUGGAUCCGCGCUGCAUUAGCUAGUUGGUAAGGUAACGGCUUACCAAGGCAACGAUGCAUAGCCGACCUGAGAGGGUGAUCGGCCACACUGGAACUGAGACACGGUCCAGACUCCUACGGGAGGCAGCAGUAGGGAAUCUUCCGCAAUGGGCGAAAGCCUGACGGAGCAACGCCGCGUGAGUGAUGAAGGUCUUCGGAUCGUAAAACUCUGUUAUUAGGGAAGAACAUAUGUGUAAGUAACUGUGCACAUCUUGACGGUACCUAAUCAGAAAGCCACGGCUAACUACGUGCCAGCAGCCGCGGUAAUACGUAGGUGGCAAGCGUUAUCCGGAAUUAUUGGGCGUAAAGCGCGCGUAGGCGGUUUUUUAAGUCUGAUGUGAAAGCCCACGGCUCAACCGUGGAGGGUCAUUGGAAACUGGAAAACUUGAGUGCAGAAGAGGAAAGUGGAAUUCCAUGUGUAGCGGUGAAAUGCGCAGAGAUAUGGAGGAACACCAGUGGCGAAGGCGACUUUCUGGUCUGUAACUGACGCUGAUGUGCGAAAGCGUGGGGAUCAAACAGGAUUAGAUACC
This 707-nucleotide ribosomal RNA is filed under the name Staphylococcus aureus. RNAcentral's name for it is "bacterial SSU rRNA". It matches the Rfam family "Bacterial small subunit ribosomal RNA", at positions 92 to 786 of the family's 1533-position model. The record is from RNAcentral. Lineage: Bacteria; Bacillati; Bacillota; Bacilli; Caryophanales; Staphylococcaceae.